This 301-nucleotide ribosomal RNA is filed under the name uncultured bacterium. RNAcentral describes it as "partial 16S ribosomal RNA". It matches the Rfam family "Bacterial small subunit ribosomal RNA", at positions 509 to 807 of the family's 1533-position model. The record is from RNAcentral.
CAGCAGCCGCGGUAAAACGAAGGGUGCAAGCGUUAAUCGGAAUUACUGGGCGUAAAGCGUGCGUAGGCGGUUUGUUAAGUCUGUUGUGAAAUCCCCGGGCUCAACCUGGGAAUGGCAAUGGAUACUGGCAAGCUAGAGUGUGUCAGAGGAUGGUGGAAUUCCCGGUGUAGCGGUGAAAUGCGUAGAGAUCGGGAGGAACAUCAGUGGCGAAGGCGGCCAUCUGGGGCAACACUGACGCUGAGGCACGAAAGCGUGGGGAGCAAACAGGAUUAGAUACCCGCGUAGUCCCUGUCUCUUAUAC